ACAGUUACCUGGCAGGGGAGAUGCCGUGAUCACGAAGGUGGUUCCCCCAGGGCGAGGCUUAUCCAUUGCACUCCGGAUGUGUUGACCCCUGCGAUUUCCCCAAAUAUGGGAAACUCUACUGCAUAAUUUGUGGUAGUGGGGGACUGCGUUCGCGCUUUUUCCUG
Small nuclear RNA from Nomascus leucogenys (northern white-cheeked gibbon), 164 nucleotides. Its record names the gene U1. It matches the Rfam family "U1 spliceosomal RNA". Rfam says of the family: U1 is a small nuclear RNA (snRNA) component of the spliceosome (involved in pre-mRNA splicing). Its 5' end forms complementary base pairs with the 5' splice junction, thus defining the 5' donor site of an intron. NCBI's taxonomy places the organism in Eukaryota, Metazoa, Chordata, Mammalia, Primates, Hylobatidae. The record is from Ensembl.